UUUCAUAGGAAUGAAUGGGGCCCCACCACCAACGCUGUAUCCAGUUCUCUUUAUACGUCCUUGAUUCUAGCAUUAACUAGCUAACAUUAGCGUUGGCUAAGCAAUGAGUGACCUAGGUCCAUAUCAUAUCAUAAUAUUAUUAAAAUUAUUAGGCUAAGGGUUUUCUUGAUAAAGAUUCAUGAAAAUCCUGUAUAAUACAUAGGUUACAUCUGUAGCUCUACUGUGCUUAAAUGUAUGCCUGCUCAUGUAUUAGCUUAGUAGAGGGAAGAAAAUAGUUUUCAUUUCCAACAACAGGCAACGAAGUUGACAAUUACUUGUACUUCUACUUUAGUAUGGAUAAUGUGUUCUCCACAGCCACCUCAGUCAAGAGCGAGAUAUAGCAACUGACUCUGGACCGGAUCCACCUCCAAACCGGCAGAUCUGUGUUACAGUCUCAUCCGUUUUACGUCCCCCUGCCAGAUACGGACCGCAUACAGGCUGACGAGCUGAUCUGACCGGACCAAGGAGAAGCAGGAGACAGUUGGCGGCUUUUCUUCCAGCUUUUGAAAAUUAUUUAUAACGGUUCAGGUUCCCACAGAGUGCCACGGAUUAGUAGGGGACUGUAAGGAAGAACCAAGCUGCAAGCAGUGCUCCAGACAGCGAGAUCGACUCAUACGCUAUCCGAUGGUUUAACCUGGUGUCUGACUGCGGAGGUGGCCGCAAAGAUCAUGCCAAGGCUAAAGAGGCAUUAACCACGGUAAAUUUCAGAUAUAGCAUUGUGCUAGUCUUUUGCAGUAGCAGUUAUGUUUUGUGUUUUUAACUUCACAAUUGGUUGUUUAUGGGCAUCACAACAUUCCACCGAGCAGCAGUGGCUGACUUCAUAAAGGUACUGUAAAUUUUACAUAUAUUUUGCAUUCAUGAUUACUGUGGCAGCCGCACUAAACACAAUACCUUUUUGUUUUUCAUGGAUCCGGCAAAUCCUGCCCUGGCCAAAAGAAGCAGCGCCUGGGAGUGACAAGCAGGCAAUGGGAGAGGCCAGCUGGGUGGGGGAUCCAGUUAAACUUAAUUAUUAUAAGUUUUGUUGUUGUUUUUUUUAUUUUUUGGUUUGACAAUUAGUUUGGUUGUGACUAAUUUCUUGGUUCAAAUCUUUGUUGGUAUUAAAGUUCAUUUUUGAUAUAGUUAAUUGUUUGUUCCUGCCCCCCCCCCCCCCCCAGUUAUGUUGAGUUCAUUAUAGGUUGCUGUUUGUUUAGUUGAUCUUAAUUUGAGUAAAAGGUCCCUAGUUUUAAAAUUACUUUUGUCUAGUGUCC
Thunnus maccoyii (southern bluefin tuna) is the source of this 1286-nucleotide long non-coding RNA. RefSeq lists it as uncharacterized. The transcript has 4 exons. NCBI's taxonomy places the organism in Eukaryota, Metazoa, Chordata, Actinopteri, Scombriformes, Scombridae. The record is from RefSeq and is a predicted model, not a curated record.